UGUUGAAACGUGUCGUUCCUUUCUAACUGUAAUACAGGAGAAGUAGCUAGUUGUUUCCCUCUCCCAGUAUCCACAGAAUUGGGUACCUUAUUUUGCAAGCAUCUUCCCCAAAACAGUGGAUGCAGCUAUUAUAUCUGUAUGGCAACAGUGGCAUGCAAGAACAGAUUCUAAGCACAUCAAAUUGGAUCCCUUAAGAAGGGGACCAAAACAACUGUUAUUCCAUCACUAUUUUCAACCGCCAAAAGUCCCACACUGUUGCACUAAGUGAGGACCAAACCACACAUUUUGAACUAUAUCAGCAUGAACCACGAUUCAAAGCUACUCAGCCAUUAUCCAUUUACAAGUUUAGGGGUUGGGGGAGAUGAACGUUUGAAUCAUAUUUAUGCACGUUUUUUAUUGACUUUCAACCCAUGACUACUGACCAAUUUUCUACCUCUGACAGCAACCAUAGUUUUAGUAAUAUCAAAA
RNAcentral lists this long non-coding RNA (468 nucleotides) under Phaseolus vulgaris (common bean). RNAcentral describes it as "long non-coding RNA (PVUL_LNC002075)". Lineage: Eukaryota; Viridiplantae; Streptophyta; Magnoliopsida; Fabales; Fabaceae. The record is from RNAcentral.